RNAcentral lists this ribosomal RNA (231 nucleotides) under uncultured bacterium. RNAcentral describes it as "partial 16S ribosomal RNA". It matches the Rfam family "Bacterial small subunit ribosomal RNA", at positions 91 to 339 of the family's 1533-position model. The record is from RNAcentral.
CUGAGUGGCAGACGGGUGAGUAUAAUGUGGGAAUCUGCCUUUUGGUUCGGAAUAACACGAGGAAACUUGUGCUAAUACCGGAUAAGCCCUUACGGGGAAAGUUUUAAUGCCAAAAGAUGAGCCCGCACUUGAUUAGCUAGUUGGUAAGGUAAUGGCUUACCAAGGCGACAAUCAAUAGCUGUUCUUAGAGGAAGACCAGCCACAUUGGGACUGAGACACGGACCAGACUCC